This 685-nucleotide long non-coding RNA is filed under the name Homo sapiens (human). RNAcentral's name for it is "HSALNT0390537". The record is from RNAcentral. Lineage: Eukaryota; Metazoa; Chordata; Mammalia; Primates; Hominidae.
CUGGCCUCAGGUGAUCCUCCCACCUUGACUUCCCAGAGUACUGAAAUUAUAGGUGCAAGCCAGCACACCUGACCCUGGACUCUUACUUAGUACCAGCCAGUGCUCUAAGAGAUUUACUUGGAUUAACUCAUUUAAUCCUCAAAAUAAAACCAUGAGGUAUUGACUCAACUGGCUUUGUAUGCUGGGCACCACUUUGCAAACAGCUUACAGGAUGGACUGCAGUCCUCACAACGAUCUUCAAAGCACGCUCGGAGUUGUGGCCCUACGGGGACCCGGUGAAUUCAGCUGCCUGUAUGAGAGUGAUUCUGCCCCAUGCCAAACCCUUUCGCGAUGAUUGUCUCAUGUGACGCUUACAAUUCUGGGAGCCAGGCAGGACAGAUAGAGUGAUCAUCUCCAUUUUAUGGAUGAGGAAAUUGAUCCCCAAGAGUUGAAGUGACUUGCCCAAGGACAUGGUGAGUAAGGAGUCUGGACUUCCCGCAGGUUUGCUUGACUCUGAACUCCAGGUUCUGUCCAUGGCCCUGAGCUGCCAUUCCCCUGAGCUCCACACCCCACACCCCUCACCCCUCCAGAAGGAGCUAAGGGCAGAUUCUCCUCCCUUAUCCUCCAAGAAGUCAGGGGCUUCUUGCUCUGUUUGAAAUAAAAAGCAACUGCGUCUGCGCACCAGUGGCAGAGACGGACUUUGUAC